GCUGGGCCUGGUGGUGCAUGCCUGUAGUUCCAGCUACUUGGGAAGCUGAGACAGGAGGAUCACUUGAGUCCAGGAGGUUGAGGCUGUAGUGAGCCAUGAUUGCACCACUGCACUCCAGCCUGGGUGACAGAGUGAGAUCCUGACUCAA
Molecule: non-coding RNA, 148 nt
Organism: Homo sapiens (human)
Lineage: Eukaryota; Metazoa; Chordata; Mammalia; Primates; Hominidae
Rfam family: Metazoan signal recognition particle RNA
About the family: The signal recognition particle (SRP) is a universally conserved ribonucleoprotein.
Source: Rfam